UUACGAAAACUCUACAAUGCGCGAAAGCGUGAUAGGGGAAUUCCAAGUGCUUUACCAAUGGUAAGGCUUUUGCCAAGUGUAAGUAGCUUGGCGAAUAAGUGGUGGGUAAGACCGGUGCCAGCCGCCGCGGUAACCCCGGCGCCACAAGUGGUAGCCACAUUUAUUGGGUCUAAAGCGUUCGUAGCCGGUUUGGGUUAUUUUAUGUGAAAUCGUUGGGCUUAACUUAACGGUGUGCAUAAAACACUCCCAAACUUGAGACCGGGAGGAGGUAGAGGUAUUCUGGGGGGAGCGGUAAAAUGCUAUAAUCCCUAGAGGACCACCAGUGGCGAAGGCUUCUAUCUAGAACGGGUCUGACGGUGAGGAACGAAGGCCAGGGGAGCAAAUCGG
Molecule: ribosomal RNA, 387 nt
Filed under: uncultured euryarchaeote
Lineage: Archaea; Methanobacteriati; Methanobacteriota
Description: bacterial SSU rRNA
Rfam family: Archaeal small subunit ribosomal RNA
Source: RNAcentral